GAUGAAGAACGUAGCGAAAUGCGAUAAGUAAUGUGAAUUGCAGAAUUCAGUGAAUCAUCGAAUCUUUGAACGCACAUUGCGCCCAUUAGUAUUCUAGUGGGCAUGCCUGUUCGAGCGUCAUUAAGUCCACUUAAGCCCUGCUUAGUGUUGGGAGACUGCUCCAGCGGUGCUACCCUGUAGCUACCCUGCAGCUCCUCUAAGACAGCGGCGGAGUUGUGGUAUCCUCUGAGCUUAGUAACUUGUUCUAGCUUUCGAGUACACCACUUCCCCUGCCGUAAAACCCUUAAUUUUUAAUGGUUGACCUCGGAUCAGGUAGGAAUACCCGCUGAACUUAAGCAUAUCAAUAAGCGGAGGA
RNAcentral lists this unclassified non-coding RNA (355 nucleotides) under soil metagenome. RNAcentral's name for it is "partial contains 5.8S ribosomal RNA, internal transcribed spacer 2, and large subunit ribosomal RNA". The stretch from base 1 to 120 matches the Rfam family "5.8S ribosomal RNA", at positions 35 to 154 of the family's 154-position model. The record is from RNAcentral.